UACGGAGGGGGCGAGCGUUAUCCGGAGUUACUGGGCGUAAAGGGCGUGUAGGUGGUUUCGUAAGUCUGGCGUGAAAUUUCUCGGCUUAACCGAGGCAGGUCGUCGGAUACUGCGGAACUUGAGGACGGUAGAGGCGUGUGGAAUUCCGGGUGUAGUGGUGAAAUGCGUAGAGAUCCGGAGGAACACCAGUGGCGAAGGCGACACGCUGGGCCGUACCUGACACUGAUGCGCGACAGCAUGGGGAGCAAACAGG
Molecule: ribosomal RNA, 253 nt
Filed under: uncultured bacterium
Lineage: Bacteria
Description: partial 16S ribosomal RNA
Rfam family: Bacterial small subunit ribosomal RNA
Source: RNAcentral